Long non-coding RNA from Pieris rapae (cabbage white), 860 nucleotides. RefSeq lists it as uncharacterized. The record is from RefSeq and is a predicted model, not a curated record. Lineage: Eukaryota; Metazoa; Arthropoda; Insecta; Lepidoptera; Pieridae. The transcript has 2 exons.
UGUUUUAGAAAACACAAUGUUUUGAAAUCGUGUUCAGAAAACAUUCGUAUUUCAUUUCAAUAGCUCGCGCAAUACAAAUCUACGCAACUCUAUCAACAGUAUUGAAUCGAAUCGAGAACGCGCUAUAUCCAUAAAUGGACGAGUAAGGCAGACCUGAUGAUUGGCAUAGGCUUGUCAAGAGAAGACACCAAACUAUCAACUGUGACUGCUCUAUUAAGAACACACUUGAGAAGAAAGUUGAAAUAUAGAGUUGCAAAACCAUGAUUUCACCGAGAGAGACAAUAUUGUAUAACGUAAGAGAAAAACAUUAUUUUUAAAUUCAAUGUAUGUAUAUCUUCAAUUCUUCGCUGUUUCCCUUCAUAGAAUAUAAGUCGCGCCUCUCUCUUAUUUAUUAAGUAAAGUUCACUACAACUUACUGCUACAUGUACAGUAGAUAUAUGGUAUACAAAAGUGUUAAAAAAAAUGAUGUAUUAAUAUUACACUUCCAAUUUUAGAUUACACUAGUAUUGUGGUGGUUGGUGAUUAGGUAUCAGAUAGGCAUUUGAUGCUUUGCUUUUAAAUUGAUAAGCGCACUUCGGAAUACAUCAAUCUCUGGAUAUGUAAUGUUUAUUAUAUUCACAAAUAAAUCGAGUGAAAGGUGCCUACAUUUCCAAAACCAACCUCUCCUAGGCUGGUUUUUCCAGAUGGGAUUUGGAAAUCUCUGCUGAUUUUAAACCAGGAAUGAAAAAAUGACAACAAUGUUAAUGUUCUGUAAAAUGAUACCAUUCUGUAUUUGACCAUUUAUCAUAUUUUGACUUCUCUGACCUGUUUUUUAACCCACACCCACACCAGAAUCUAAACCCAAAAAAGUAUUGAUGACA